Molecule: long non-coding RNA, 1465 nt
Organism: Malania oleifera
Lineage: Eukaryota; Viridiplantae; Streptophyta; Magnoliopsida; Santalales; Ximeniaceae
Exons: 3
Source: RefSeq, a predicted model, not a curated record
CUCUCUCUCUCUCUCUCUCUCUCUCUCUCUCUCGGCAUACCCUCUCCUGCGCAGCCUCUCCCUGCGCGGCCCCAGCCUCUUCCACGGCCAGCACCACCUCCUACAGCUCCUCACGUAGCACAACCUCCUCCAGCCGCAGCCACAACCUCACAGCAGCACCCCCUGCAGCUCUCCUGCGCAGCACCACUCCCUUACACCGGCAAACUCCUACUCCCUCACGGCCUGCUAGCUCCCCAGCUACUCAUACAGCCAACACCACCUCCUGCAACUCCAUAGCCUGCAGCCUCCAACACCAGCGGCCGUCUCCCUCUCUUAACCUCGUCCAGCCGCAGCCCUCUCCUCUUCUCCUCCAAAGGUAAGUUUUUAAGAAAACAGCACGAGAAAGCAGGGUGAUGAACAAACACACAUUUUAAGCAGAAGAAUUGAAGAAGGAAAAGGGGGCAAGACCUGAAACAAAUGGCAAGUAUGAAGGUGAAAGCUGGUGUAAGGUUGCUGAUGGCAGAAGCAAGAGUUGGAGAACUGUAUUCUAUUCCUUUCAGCUAAACCAUGGAACAUGGGGAAAUUUUUGGAAUCAUAGGGUUAUGGAUGAGUAACAGGAGCAUACCCAAGAAGCCCGAGGAGGAAGAUUCUAUAGGGAAGACAAGAGUUGAGUGGGGGAAGAGCUGUUCUUCUGUUAAAAUAAAUAAAUAAGUCAUCAUUAAGAGACACAAAAGAGAGAAUGUUAGAAGAUGGGGAAAGACAGAAUGGACGUUGCAUGCUCUGAAGAAAAUAAAAGAAAUGUUUGUGUUUGAGUUUGUGGUGUGAAAUGGUGAGAGCAGGGAGACACUGGGACAUACCUGAGGAAGAAGAUGGCGAAAGGAAGCAGAGCAAGAGUAGCAAUGGCGUAAGAAUAGAAGAUGAAGACAAAGUUGCUCAGCCCCUUCAAUGAUGCUGCCUUGAACAAGAUGCUAGAGCCUACAUUGAGGCACUCCACCAGCACCAUGGCCCCAAAUGGUAUCACUUCCCUCCAACAAUACCCCUCCGCCAUCUCUCUCUCUCUCUCAAAAUGGAGAAUGGGGGAUUCAAACUUCAAACUUCAAGGGUGUUAUUUGUUUGAAUGAGAAGGGCUUGAUGGAUUUUGUAGCAUGUGCUUGCUGAGAGCAGAGGUUUUGGUUUUCAAUGUCUCGGAGCAAGAAACAGGGUGAGGGGAUGAUGACAAGAUAUUUGGCCAAUUGGCUUGAAGGGGUAGAGGGAUUGCUUGACAAAGUCAUUUGGGUUGUUAUCAGGGAUCUCGGAGACUAUAUUAUAAUGUAGAUCUCGGAUUGAUAGUCACGUCUCACCAGAGGAGAACCCACUUCUUUACUACAAAGUCCAAAUGCCCUUACUUGGAUUAUUACUAAAGAAAAUAAAAUGGAGAGGGCGUGUUUGGUUUAGCAUUUUACCCAUUUUGCAGUUCAUAAAUGUCAAAUGUUUCUUCUUUCUUCAA